CCUACGGGUGGCAGCAGCAAGGAAUUUUCCGCAAUGGGCGCAAGCCUGACGGAGCAACGCCGCGUGCGGGAUGACGCCUUUCGGGGUGUAAACCGCUGUUCGUGGGGACGAAGCACUGACGGUACCCACGGAGGAAGGCCCGGCUAACUACGUGCCAGCAGCCGCGGUAAUACGUAGGGGCCGAGCGUUGUCCGGAGUUACUGGGCGUAAAGCGUGCGCAGGCGGCCUGCCGCGCCCGGCGUGAAAGCCCCCGGCUCAACCGGGGAGGGUCGUCGGGGACGGGCAGGCUUGAGGACGGCAGGGGCUGGUGGAAUUCCCGGUGUAGUGGUGAAAUGCGUAGAGAUCGGGAGGAACACCCGUGGCGAAGGCGGCCAGCUGGGCCGGACCUGACGCUGAGGCACGAAGGCGUGGGGAGCGAACGGGAUUAGAUACCCUUGUAG
RNAcentral lists this ribosomal RNA (440 nucleotides) under uncultured bacterium. RNAcentral describes it as "bacterial SSU rRNA". It matches the Rfam family "Bacterial small subunit ribosomal RNA", at positions 338 to 793 of the family's 1533-position model. The record is from RNAcentral.